This 468-nucleotide ribosomal RNA is filed under the name uncultured bacterium. Its description in RNAcentral is "partial 16S ribosomal RNA". It matches the Rfam family "Bacterial small subunit ribosomal RNA", at positions 28 to 507 of the family's 1533-position model. The record is from RNAcentral.
GACGAACGCUGGCGGCGUGCUUAACACAUGCAAGUCGAACGGAAAGGCCCUGCUGUUGCUGCGCGCUCGAGUGGCGCACGGGUGAGUAACACGUGAGUAACCUGCCCCUGUCUUUGGGAUAUCUUCAGGAAACUCGAACUCAUACCGGAUAGUAGCUCCUGCUGCAUGGUGUGGGUUGGAAACUUUCGGCGGUUGGGGAUGGACUCGCGGCUUAUCAGCUUGUUGGUGGGGUAGGGGCUUACCCAGGGUCUGACGGGUAGCCGGCCGGGGAGGGGGACCGGCCACAUGGGGACUAAGAUAGGGCCCAGACUCCAAGGGGAGGCAGCGGGGGGAAAUAUGGAACAAUGGGGGGAAGCCGGAGGCGGCAACGCGGGGGGCGGAAUAACGGCCUUCGGGUGGAAAACCGCUUUCGCAGGUGACAAGGCGUGAGUGACGGUAAUGGGUAAAGAAGCACCGGCUAACUACGUG